RNAcentral lists this ribosomal RNA (216 nucleotides) under Glomeromycotina sp. Its description in RNAcentral is "partial small subunit ribosomal RNA". The stretch from base 40 to 216 matches the Rfam family "Eukaryotic small subunit ribosomal RNA", at positions 686 to 864 of the family's 1831-position model. The record is from RNAcentral. Lineage: Eukaryota; Fungi; Glomeromycota.
GGGUCAGUAGGUUGGUCGUGCCACCGGUACGUACUGGUCUCACUGAUUCCUCCUUCCUGUAGAACCGUAAUGCCAUUAAUUUGGUGUUGCGGGGAAACAGGACUGUUACUUUGAAAAAAUUAGAGCGUUUAAAGCAAGCUAACGCUUGAAUACAUUAGCAUGGAAUAAUGAAAUAGGACGAUCGAUCCUAUUUUGUUGGUUUCUAGGAUUGACGUA